RNAcentral lists this ribosomal RNA (522 nucleotides) under uncultured Glomus. Its description in RNAcentral is "SSU rRNA". It matches the Rfam family "Eukaryotic small subunit ribosomal RNA", at positions 569 to 1092 of the family's 1831-position model. Lineage: Eukaryota; Fungi; Glomeromycota; Glomeromycetes; Glomerales; Glomeraceae. The record is from RNAcentral.
AGCAGCCGCGGUAAUUCCAGCUCCAAUAGCGUAUAUUAAAGUUGUUGCAGUUAAAAAGCUCGUAGUUGGAUUUCGGGAUCGACGGGUCGGUCGCGCCUCCGGUGUGUACUGGCCCUGUCGGUUUCUCCCUUCUGACGAACCACGAUGUCAUUAACUUGAUGUCGUGGGAAAUCAGGACUGUUACUUUGAAAAAAUUAGAGUGUUUAAAGCAGGCAUUCGCUUGAAUACAUUAGCAUGGAAUAAUGAAAUAGGACGUUUGAUCUUAUUUUGUUGGUUUCUAAGAUCGACGUAAUGAUUAAUAGGGAUAGUUGGGGGCAUUAGUAUUCAAUUGUCAGAGGUGAAAUUCUUGGAUUUAUUGAAGACUAACUACUGCGAAAGCAUUUGCCAAGGAUGUUUUCAUUAAUCAAGAACGAAAGUUAGGGGAUCGAAGACGAUCAGAUACCGUCGUAGUCUUAACCAUAAACUAUGCCGACUAGGGAUCGGAUGAUGUUAAUUUUUUAAUGACUCAUUCGGCGCCUUACG